GCCAUUAUUGAUAUAGAUAGCAUUAAUUUUGUGUGCAUCUUUCAUCUUUACAGUGUGCUACUGGAUUUAUGAUGAAACUGAAGGAUCCUUGUUGCAGUAUUGCCAGGAUUCAGGAAUGACAAUGCCUAAGAAGUCAUGGACAUUAAGAGAUAAAGUACAAGCAUCUUGAAUGAAAAUCAAUCUACACUUUGAACUAUUCCUGAGAAAAAAAGAAGAAGAAAAAAAGGUUAUCCUACUGAUGGGGGCAAAACCAAUCAACCAGAAGAAAACCCAACAAUCUGAGGAAGUGUGAUUUCCAUGUGAGUUUUCCAUGUGAGUAUAUUUUUAAUUCUACCAUUCUACUCCUGAAAAGGACCAUUCAAACCUCAGUUGUGAUACUUCUCCCUCUUUCCUGGAGUCUUGACUGCUCUCACAGCAGUACGUUAAAAUGCUGCAUCAUGCUACUGACAGU
This 451-nucleotide long non-coding RNA is filed under the name Coturnix japonica (Japanese quail). RNAcentral describes it as "lncRNA (ENSCJPG00005000995.1)". The record is from RNAcentral. Lineage: Eukaryota; Metazoa; Chordata; Aves; Galliformes; Phasianidae.